RNAcentral lists this transfer RNA (71 nucleotides) under Ictidomys tridecemlineatus (thirteen-lined ground squirrel). Its description in RNAcentral is "Spermophilus tridecemlineatus (thirteen-lined ground squirrel) tRNA". It matches the Rfam family "tRNA". Rfam says of the family: Transfer RNA (tRNA) molecules are approximately 80 nucleotides in length. Their secondary structure includes four short double-helical elements and three loops (D, anti-codon, and T loops). Lineage: Eukaryota; Metazoa; Chordata; Mammalia; Rodentia; Sciuridae. The record is from Rfam by way of RNAcentral.
GUGGCUGUGGCUCAGUGGUAGAGUGCUUGUCUAGCACGUGUGAGGCACUGAGUUCAAUCCUCAGCACCACA